ACUUAUAUAGUAUAUUGUAUAUUACAUUUAACUUCCAAUUAAAAAAAUUAUUAUUUAUAAUAUAAGUA
Molecule: transfer RNA, 68 nt
Filed under: Dolichovespula flora
Lineage: Eukaryota; Metazoa; Arthropoda; Insecta; Hymenoptera; Vespidae
Description: tRNA-Gly
Source: RNAcentral